RNAcentral lists this ribosomal RNA (623 nucleotides) under uncultured bacterium. RNAcentral describes it as "bacterial SSU rRNA". The stretch from base 1 to 541 matches the Rfam family "Bacterial small subunit ribosomal RNA", at positions 338 to 873 of the family's 1533-position model. The record is from RNAcentral.
CCUACGGGAGGCAGCAGUGGGGAAUUUUGGACAAUGGGCGCAAGCCUGAUCCAGCAAUGCCGCGUGCAGGAUGAAGGCCUUCGGGUUGUAAACUGCUUUUGUACGGAACGAAACGGUCCUUUCUAAUACAAGGGGCUAAUGACGGUACCGUAAGAAUAAGCACCGGCUAACUACGUGCCAGCAGCCGCGGUAAUACGUAGGGUGCGAGCGUUAAUCGGAAUUACUGGGCGUAAAGCGUGCGCAGGCGGUUAUAUAAGACAGAUGUGAAAUCCCCGGGCUCAACCUGGGACCUGCAUUUGUGACUGUAUAGCUAGAGUACGGUAGAGGGGGAUGGAAUUCCGCGUGUAGCAGUGAAAUGCGUAGAUAUGCGGAGGAACACCGAUGGCGAAGGCAAUCCCCUGGACCUGUACUGACGCUCAUGCACGAAAGCGUGGGGAGCAAACAGGAUUAGAUACCCUGGUAGUCCACGCCCUAAACGAUGUCAACUGGUUGUUGGGUCUUCACUGACUCAGUACGAAGCUAACGCGUGAAGUUGACCGCCUGGGGNGGACGGCGGCGAGUUAGAACGUACGAAUUAGAAGUUGNGGCGNGAGACGNGCGACGGACGACGACGAGGGAGGAGG